RNAcentral lists this ribosomal RNA (258 nucleotides) under uncultured bacterium. RNAcentral's name for it is "partial 16S ribosomal RNA". It matches the Rfam family "Bacterial small subunit ribosomal RNA", at positions 524 to 776 of the family's 1533-position model. The record is from RNAcentral.
UACAGAGGGUGCGAGCGUUGUCCGGAAUCACUGGGCGUAAAGGGCGCGUAGGUGGCGGCCCAAGUCCAUGGUGAAAGCGCGGGGCUCAACUCCGCGUCGGCCAUUGAUACUGCUGGGCUGGAGCACUGUAGAGGCAGGCGGAAUUCCGGGUGUAGCGGUGAAAAUGCGUAGAGAUCGGGAGGAACACCAGAGGCGAAGGCGGCGACCUGGACAGUUACUGACACUCAAACUACGAAAAGCGUGGGGGAGCAAAACAGG